AUUAAAGUUUAGCACUAUGAUUUUUUUUUUCUUUUUCCUUUUUCUUUUGAAUAUGAGGUUCUUUUGACUCCACUCACUGGUUUGUAUUACUACAGGAAUGUAAAAAACAAACAAACAGAUAGACUAGAGUGCAACAAAGUAAAACUAUGAAAGCGCGUUUAAAGUGCAUAAGAGUAGCUGUGGAUAUGUCCAUUUGAAAAAA
This is a non-coding RNA of Pelobates cultripes (western spadefoot toad), 202 nucleotides long. The record is from the annotation of a GenBank genome assembly. Lineage: Eukaryota; Metazoa; Chordata; Amphibia; Anura; Pelobatidae.